RNAcentral lists this ribosomal RNA (1238 nucleotides) under Companilactobacillus futsaii. Its description in RNAcentral is "bacterial SSU rRNA". It matches the Rfam family "Bacterial small subunit ribosomal RNA", at positions 87 to 1313 of the family's 1533-position model. Lineage: Bacteria; Bacillati; Bacillota; Bacilli; Lactobacillales; Lactobacillaceae. The record is from RNAcentral.
CUUGGUGAGUGGCGGACGGGUGAGUAACACGUGGGUAACCUGCCCAAAAGUGGGGGAUAACAUUUGGAAACAAGUGCUAAUACCGCAUAACAACUACUUUCACAUGAUCGUAGCUUGAAAGAUGGCUCUGCUAUCACUUUUGGAUGGACCCGCGGCGUAUUAGCUAGUUGGUGAGGUAAUAGCUCACCAAGGCAAUGAUACGUAGCCGACCUGAGAGGGUAAUCGGCCACAUUGGGACUGAGACACGGCCCAAACUCCUACGGGAGGCAGCAGUAGGGAAUCUUCCACAAUGGGCGAAAGCCUGAUGGAGCAAUGCCGCGUGAGUGAAGAAGGUUUUCGGAUCGUAAAACUCUGUUGUUGAAGAAGAACAUGCGUGAGAGUAACUGUUCACGUACUGACGGUAUUCAACCAGAAAGCCACGGCUAACUACGUGCCAGCAGCCGCGGUAAUACGUAGGUGGCAAGCGUUGUCCGGAUUUAUUGGGCGUAAAGAGAAUGUAGGCGGUCUAUUAAGUUUGAAGUGAAAGCCCUCGGCUCAACCGAGGAAGUGCUUCGAAAACUGGUAGACUUGAGUGCAGAAGAGGAAAGUGGAACUCCAUGUGUAGCGGUGGAAUGCGUAGAUAUAUGGAAGAACACCAGUGGCGAAGGCGGCUUUCUGGUCUGUAACUGACGCUGAGAUUCGAAAGCAUGGGUAGCAAACAGGAUUAGAUACCCUGGUAGUCCAUGCCGUAAACGAUGAGUGCUAAGUGUUGGAGGGUUUCCGCCCUUCAGUGCUGCAGCUAACGCAUUAAGCACUCCGCCUGGGGAGUACGACCGCAAGGUUGAAACUCAAAGGAAUUGACGGGGGCCCGCACAAGCGGUGGAGCAUGUGGUUUAAUUCGAAGCAACGCGAAGAACCUUACCAGGUCUUGACAUACCAUGAAAAGCUUAGAGAUAAGUCUUUCCCUUCGGGGACAUGGAUACAGGUGGUGCAUGGUUGUCGUCAGCUCGUGUCGUGAGAUGUUGGGUUAAGUCCCGCAACGAGCGCAACCCUUAUUAUCAGUUGCCAGCAUUCAGUUGGGCACUCUGGUGAGACUGCCGGUGACAAACCGGAGGAAGGUGGGGACGACGUCAAAUCAUCAUGCCCCUUAUGACCUGGGCUACACACGUGCUACAAUGGUCGGUACAACGUGUUGCGAACUCGCGAGGGCAAGCAAAUCACUUAAAACCGAUCUCAGUUCGGAUUGCAGGCUGCAACUC